RNAcentral lists this non-coding RNA (29 nucleotides) under Rattus norvegicus (Norway rat). Lineage: Eukaryota; Metazoa; Chordata; Mammalia; Rodentia; Muridae. The record is from RNAcentral.
UGGAAGAAUACCGUCAAUGGUACAGUGAC